Molecule: long non-coding RNA, 2317 nt
Filed under: Homo sapiens (human)
Lineage: Eukaryota; Metazoa; Chordata; Mammalia; Primates; Hominidae
Description: non-protein coding INHBA-AS1:6
Source: RNAcentral
GUCCAUUUCUGGAACUGCUAUUUGUAUAUUGCAUGAUAUUUUAUCAGGAAAAAAUAUAAAACAGAUCUAAUUUCAUGAAAAUGCUGUUGCCAUAAUGCUCAGGAGAACAGGGGGAAGAGAGAGAUUCAAGUCUUCCUAAUGUCUACCUUAUAUGCAGAGCCUUGGAAAGAUGGGCAAAUGCUCUGUGACAAGCCACCAGGGUAGACUGGUACUGAAAAGACCCUACUACACACAGGGGCUCUGUCCCUGGCUGGAAAGUUACAAGUCAGCCUACCUCUCUGUGAUCUGGUUUCCACACCUACUACUCUUUAUCCCAUGAGGAGCUUCUGGAAACUAAAAUAGGUACGUAAUCAAAACCAAAAGAAGACAUUGGUUCAAGGAUCCUCAAGAGCUCAGCAUCAUGUUUCUGUUGUUUCUUUUUGAAUAGACAAAAUUCUCAGUGUUCAGUAGCUACACACACACACACACACACACACACAAACACACACACCCCACACACAAAAGUAGCAUCUCCACAAUGUUGCAUGCAUCAGGAAAGCAAAUGUUUUUACCACAGGCUGGCUAUGCCUCAUCCUCUUAAACUAGCAUCUUGAGGUCUUUGCAGAAGCCAUUUUAUAGAUGCCUACACUCAUCCCAUUACUUGCAUUCUCAUCCUGAGGGUAUUUUAAGGAGUCAAAAUAAAGUUUACUUAGGCGUGUGUGAGAGACAGAAUGAUAGACCAAAAGAGAAGGCUAGGGCUUCGUAAUAUUUAGAUAAUGAUGAAACUGAAAUGGCUGAUGCAGAGUGCAGUAAUUAUAUAGGAUACUUUAUUAUUUGGGUUCACCUUUGCUCAGUAGUGAAUUAUAAGCACUCUACUAGGUGAGAGGUUUGGCUUCCAAAAUGAACAGCUGGCGCAGGAUGGAACUGUCAGACCAUGUCACAUGAUAAAUAAAAUAAUACAUAGAAACUUUAGGAUCUCCUAAUUGGAAGCUUCCUUUAGACAACAAAAGAUGCCAGGCUAUCUGCUGCCCCCUAACUGGUACCAUGAAGAACAGCACAUAACUUUUUAAGAAACAAAGUCUGAUUCAGGUACAAUUAGUUAGUGGCUGAGUCAACCUCCUAAGUUAUAGUUGUGAAUUUGGCCAUUUCCAUGAACCUGUUUGUUGCGAUUAAGGCAAAGUCAUCGGGUAGAGUCUGUUUUGUUUCUGUCUUUUCCUGAUGGAGAGGCACUCCUGAUUUGCAGCAGCUGCCCAGGUAGAAGAGUGUUGACCAAAGGACACAUCACCAGCACAGACUGUUAAUCAUGUGACUAGAGAAAACUCUCAUGGUGGCAUUCAAAUUUCCAUAUCCUUCUUCUAUGGAAAUUUCUGAGAGACCCAGAAAAGAAGCGUAACGACGAGGGAAAGUGAUUCCUGCAGACCUGAACAUUCCAGACUUACCAGGUGAUCCAGCUGUCUGUCAGCGGGAAGAGGCUGAGGCGCCCCCUUCUGGUGCAUCUGAAUAGUAAGAAACCCUGUGUAGAAAGAAACCCUGUAGCAAUUGGGCACCUUCUCCGUGAUCUGUCUGCUUCCAAUACCAAAAAUUGUUGCUUUUUAAAUGACAUCCAUCCUAAGCUUAAAAAAGACGCAUAUUAUUUGUAUAAAAUGUUGAAGACGCAGAACAAAAAAUGUAAAUCACAUGUAAUCAUCCCUUCCAGAAAUAAUCGUUAUUAAAAUUUCUGUGUAUGUGUAAAAAAAAAAAUUGCAAUCCUACUGUAAUAUAAUCCUGUAUACUGAUAUUUUUCACCUAUCACUGUAUGUUGAGCAUUUUCAAUAGUCAAAUUAUUUCUUGAAAAUAUUAAUGACUGGGGAGUAACCUUUCAAAUAGGUGUGUCUUUAUUUUUAAACCAGUCCACAAUUAUUGUAUAUUGAAGUCAUUUCCCAAAUUUUGUAAGUAUAAGUAUUGCAUCCAUCCUUAUAUGUAUUUAAAUGCAUCUCUUAUUAUUUCCUUGAGAUAAGUUCCUAGAAGUGGAAUCACUGGAUUUAAAAAUGUGGACAUAUUUAUGCCAGACGCGGUGGGUCAUGCCUGUAAUCCCAGCACUUUGGGAGACUGAAGCAGGUGGAUCACUUGAGGUCAGGAGUUCAAGACCAGCCUGGCCAACAUAGUGAAACCCCAUCUCUACUAAAAUUACAAAAAUUAGCCGGGUGUGGUAGUGCACGCCUGUAAUCCCAGCUACUCAGGAGGCUGAGGCAUAAGAAUCACUUGAACUCAGGAGGCGGAGGUUGCAGUGAGCCAAGAUGGCACCACUGCGCUCCAGUCUGGGCGACAGAGUAAGACUUCAUCUCAAAAAUAAAUAAAU